This 405-nucleotide ribosomal RNA is filed under the name uncultured bacterium. RNAcentral's name for it is "partial 16S ribosomal RNA". It matches the Rfam family "Bacterial small subunit ribosomal RNA", at positions 30 to 526 of the family's 1533-position model. The record is from RNAcentral.
AUUGAACGCUGGCGGCAGGCCUAACACAUGCAAGUCGAGCGGAGCGGCGGACGGGUGAGUAAUGCCUAGGAAUCUGCCUGGUAGUGGGGGAUAACGUCCGGAAACGGGCGCUAAUACCGCAUACUAUCAGAUGAGCCUAGGUCGGAUUAGCUAGUUGGUGGGGUAAAGGCCUACCAAGGCGACGAUCCGUAACUGGUCUGAGAGGAUGAUCAGUCACACUGGAACUGAGACACGGUCCAGACUCCUACGGGAGGCAGCAGUGAGGAAUAUUGGUCAAUGGGCGAGAGCCUGAACCAGCCAAGUCGCGUGAAGGAUGACUGUCUUUGGAUUGUAAACUUCUUUUAUACGGGAAUGUACCGUAUGAAUAAGCAUCGGCUAACUCCGUGCCAGCAGCCGCGGUAAUAC